This 847-nucleotide ribosomal RNA is filed under the name uncultured organism. RNAcentral describes it as "bacterial SSU rRNA". It matches the Rfam family "Bacterial small subunit ribosomal RNA", at positions 40 to 862 of the family's 1533-position model. The record is from RNAcentral.
CGGCGUGGAUUAGGCAUGCAAGUCGAGCGUGAUCUUUCAAGCUUGCUUGGAAGUGAAAGCGGCGAACGGGUGAGGAAUACUUGGGUAACCUGCCUAGAAGUUCGGAAUAGCCCCGGGAAACUGGGGGUAAUGCCGAAUGUGAUCGUCCCGCAUCUGCGGGAUUGUUUAAAGAGGGGGAUCUUCGGACCUCUCGCUUCUUGAUGGGCCCAAGUCCUAUCAGCUUGUUGGUGAGGUAAUGGCUCACCAAGGCUAAGACGGGUAGCUGGUCUGAGAGGAUGGUCAGCCACACUGGGACUGAGACACUGCCCAGACUCCUACGGGAGGCUGCAGUCGAGAAUCUUUCGCAAUGCACGAAAGUGUGACGAAGCGACGCCGCGUGGAGGAUGAAGGUCUUCGGAUUGUAAACUCCUGUCGGAAGGAAAGAACAGCUCUCGGACAAAUACUCCGGGAGUUUGACGGUACCUUCAAAGGAAGCCACGGUUAACUCUGUGCCAGCAGCCGCGGUAAUACAGAGGUGGCGAGCGUUGUUCGGAUUUACUGGGCGUAAAGGGUGCGUAGGCGGUUGUGUAUGUCAGAUGUGAAAGCCCAUGGCUCAACCAUGGAACUGCAUUUGAAACUGCACGACUAGAGUAUCGGAGAGGUGAGUGGAAUUCUUGGUGUAGCGGUGAAAUGCGUAGAUAUCAAGAAGAACACCAGCGGCGAAAGCGACUCACUGGACGAAUACUGACGCUGAGGCACGAAAGCCAGGGGAGCAAAGAGGAUUAGAUACCCUCGUAGUCCUGGCCAUAAACGGUGUACACUUGGUGUGGGCGGCUUUAACCCCGUCCGUGCCGUAGCAAACGUGAUA